Non-coding RNA from Dipodomys ordii (Ord's kangaroo rat), 65 nucleotides. NCBI's taxonomy places the organism in Eukaryota, Metazoa, Chordata, Mammalia, Rodentia, Heteromyidae. The record is from Rfam.
GGUGGCUCAAUGGUAGAGUAUUUGCCUUGCAUGCAUGAGGCCCUGGGUUCAAUUCCUCAGCACCA